GAAGACAUAGCUCAGUGGUAGAGUGUGCGCUUAGUAUGCACAAAGCCCUGGGUUUAAUCUCCAGCACCUCCA
RNAcentral lists this transfer RNA (72 nucleotides) under Camelus ferus (Wild Bactrian camel). It matches the Rfam family "tRNA". From Rfam's summary of the family: Transfer RNA (tRNA) molecules are approximately 80 nucleotides in length. Their secondary structure includes four short double-helical elements and three loops (D, anti-codon, and T loops). The record is from Rfam by way of RNAcentral. Lineage: Eukaryota; Metazoa; Chordata; Mammalia; Artiodactyla; Camelidae.